This 467-nucleotide ribosomal RNA is filed under the name uncultured bacterium. RNAcentral's name for it is "partial 16S ribosomal RNA". It matches the Rfam family "Bacterial small subunit ribosomal RNA", at positions 28 to 507 of the family's 1533-position model. The record is from RNAcentral.
GACGAACGCUGGCGGCGUGCUUAACACAUGCAAGUCGAACGGAAAGGCUCCAGCUUGCUGGAGUACUCGAGUGGCGAACGGGUGAGUAACACGUGGGUAAUCUGCCCUGCACUCUGGGAUAAGCCUGGGAAACUGGGUCUAAUACUGGAUAUGACCUUUCUCCUUAUGGGGUUUGGUGGAAAGUUUUUCGGUGUAGGAUGAGCCCGCGGCCUAUCAGCUUGUUGGUGGGGUGAUGGCCUACCAAGGCGACGACGGGUAGCCGGCCUGAGAGGGUGAUCGGCCACAUUGGGACUGAGAUACGGCCCAGACUCCUACGGGAGGCAGCAGUGGGGAAUAUUGCACAAUGGGCGGAAGCCUGAUGCAGCGACGCCGCGUGAGGGAUGACGGCCUUCGGGUUGUAAACCUCUUUCGGCAGGGACGAAGCGUAAGUGACGGUACCUGCUGAAGAAGCACCGGCUAACUAUGUG